UACGGAGGAUGCGAGCGUUAUCCGGAUUUAUUGGGUUUAAAGGGUGCGUAGGCGGAUUUUUAAGUCAGCGGUAAAAUGUCCGGGCUCAACCCGGGCCGGCCGUUGAAACUGGGGAUCUUGAGUGGGCGAGAAGUAUGCGGAAUGCGUGGUGUAGCGGUGAAAUGCAUAGAUAUCACGCAGAACUCCGAUUGCGAAGGCAGCAUACCGGCGCCCGACCGACGCUGAGGCACGAAAGCGUGGGGAUCGAACAGG
This 252-nucleotide ribosomal RNA is filed under the name uncultured bacterium. RNAcentral describes it as "partial 16S ribosomal RNA". It matches the Rfam family "Bacterial small subunit ribosomal RNA", at positions 524 to 776 of the family's 1533-position model. The record is from RNAcentral.